GACGAAGGAUGCAAGCGUUAUCCGGAUUCAUUGGGUUUAAAGGGAGCGUAGGUGGCCUUAUAAGUCAGUGGUGAAAUCUCUCGGCUUAACUGAGAAAUUGCCAUUGAUACUGUAGGGCUUGAGUACAGUUGCUGUGGGCGGAAUAUGACAUGUAGUGGUGAAAUACAUAGAUAUGUCAUAGAACACCGAUUGCGAAGGCAGCUAACGAAACUAUAACUGACGCUGAGGCACGAAAGUGCGGGGAUCAAACAGG
Molecule: ribosomal RNA, 253 nt
Filed under: uncultured bacterium
Lineage: Bacteria
Description: partial 16S ribosomal RNA
Rfam family: Bacterial small subunit ribosomal RNA
Source: RNAcentral